Molecule: long non-coding RNA, 11683 nt
Filed under: Panax ginseng (ginseng)
Lineage: Eukaryota; Viridiplantae; Streptophyta; Magnoliopsida; Apiales; Araliaceae
Description: long non-coding RNA (PGIN_LNC004382)
Source: RNAcentral
UUUUCUUUCUCUCUCCAAAACAAAACAAGUUAUAAAUUUCUCUCUCCAAAACUCAAAAUUGAUUUUCAAACCAAAUCGAGCUCCAAAUUUCUCUCUCUCCAAAACCCAAAAUCGAUCUUCAGACCAAAUCGGCAUCUAUUUCACCUAUUUCAUUCCAAAUCACUAUUCACCUAUUUCACGAUUCGGCAUCUAGGUUGAACAAAUUGGCACUUGACAUCUCCUAUUUCAGUACAAAUCGACUUCGACUCGGAUCAAAACCUUGAUUUCGGCUUCGGUUCGGUAAGGGUUUAACUAUUUUCCUCCAUUACAAUUAUAUUUCUAAGUUUUUGUUUUGGUCUGUUUUGGUCUGACUUUGAUGACACCAUCUCUAGCGGUCCAAUUUCCAUUGUUUCAGGGUAAAAUUAGAUUCUUACAUAUGUGACUAUAGAGUUUGAUAUUGUUCCCAUUAAUGGAUAUCGGGGGUGUCCCUGGUUGGUUCAUCUUUGCUGGUGAAUAUACAACCACUUUAGUAAUAAUUCUAUCGUUUGUACAUUUUUAUAAUUUUAUUGAUUGAUAGCCAAUUGUACAAGAUUUACAUAAUUACCUUUUCAAUGUGUUUAAAUGAUAGUUUAUUGGUGCAAAUUUCUUGGACUAUUCCUCUAAAUCUUUUGCUUGAAAAACUUUGUUGGUCGUCUAAAUUUGUGGUUUCCUUUUACUUGAAACAUUUAGUUAAUGAGCUACGUUCAGCAUGUUACGAAUUAAACAAAUGUUUCUAAUAAUGUAUCAGCCUGUAUUUUUUGUCAAUGAAAUGUUUUCCUUCUUGGUUUUGUUUCUUUGCAGAGGCACCCAUUGCCACAACCCUUUGCACUGAGUAAACCCGAUCCCCAAAGUGCCUAUAUGGAGUUUGAUUAUUCGAACUUUUUUAUGUUGCUUUUAUUCAAAUAUCUAGGCUCAUAGUUAUCCCAGAUGGCAGCCUUUGACUUGGAUAAAAAGGACAAGUUUGCUAAGAAUACACAACACUUUACUAUGAAUAGGUGGCUCACCUAAAUGAAAAGACAGUGAGCCUGUAAUACCCAUGAACACUACAACAAAUUGGCUUAUCAGCGACCGCAUAUGGUCGCAGAUGAGUAUUAGCAACCGACUGCGGUCGCUAAUAUUAGUCACAGGUAAUCUGGUCGCUAAAUGGACAUCAACGACCAAUAAUAGCGACCGAAUUAUUAGCGAUCACCAUCAGCGACCGACUCCGUCGCUAAUCUGACUCACGCUGAGUCAGUUGUCAGGAAUGACGUAGUACACGUGACAGCAACUGGUAAUUGUGAUCAAUGCGGUCGCUAGUUUCCAUGUUGCUAUCAGCAACCGCUUAUAGUAGUAGCGGCCGCAUGCGAUCGCUAAUGUUAUUUUUUUUAUAAAAUAUUUUUCCUGUUUUGUUGAUUUUCCAAAAAUAACCUUCUUUGUACCUGCUUUCUAUCCCAACACACAGCAACAUAUAAGGCUGUAAACGAGCUAACACAGUUCGAGCUCGAUUCGGGCUCGACUCAAAAAAAUACGAGCGAGACUCGGAUUCGUUAAUAAUAUGAUCCAAAUCUGAGCAUUAAAAAUAGUUCGAAUAAAAAUAUGAGUAGAAUCUGAGCAAGGUUAUACUCAACACGUUUAAGAUUCAAACAACUCGAAUUCUUGAUUGUGAUUCGAUACAUACUUGGUUAAUACAUAUUCGAUUAGAUGUUCGAUACAUUCUCUUAUAAUAUAUACAAAUUUAAAUCAAAUUAGGAUAAUUAGUUAUUAUUUUGUUUUGUUUUUAAUUUUAAUUGUGAUUUUAUAUUUGUAAAGUGUAAUAAUAAAUAUAUUUUCUCAUUUUUAAGUAAAAUAACAAAUUUAAUUUAUAAUUAUAUUUAUUAUAAAACUAGUUAUUAUGUGGAGACUCGAAUUCGAGCUUGAAUUUGAAGCUCGCGAGUAGUUUGAAUAAAUAUUCGAGUCGAGUCGGAUCGAAUUCGAGUAAUAAAUAUUCGAGUCGACUCGAAUCUGAGUAGGAUUUUUCAAAUAUAAUUCGAAUUCGAGUACGAAUUUAUCAUUUCGAGUCGAAUUCCACUACAAGAAAAUGCUCUAACAGCGACCAAAACCAUCAGCGACCGCACUUUUUAGUCGCAGAAAGUAUUAUUAGCGACCGACAGUAGCGACCAAUAUUGAAUUUGGUCACUAGAGUAUUUUAGCGACCGAACCCGGUCGCUAUUCGGUCGCAGGUUCACUUUUACCUCCAAAAAAAUUGGCACGAAAUGUUGGCGCGUUAAUUGUUUGCAACCACUCACCAUCAGCGACCGCCUGCGGUCGCUGAUACUUCCACAUCAUUUAAAAUUAGCGACCGCAGGCCGUCGCGGAUAGCGAUCGCUGAUCUAUUACAAUUAACCAGUUCCAGUUCGUCACUCUCGAUCGACAGAAGAAAAAAAAGAGGGAGAAAAUAAUAGGACUGUUUCUUCACCUUUACUUUUCACAUACCACAUCUGCCUCACAAUCUCAAUAAAUGCUGACAUUAUGUAUAAAUUAGAAGACAUUUAUUCAUCCAUGUUCACAUCGAAGAGUAGAGAAGCUUCUGUUUUCCUAAUAAUUAAAAUAUCAUUUUCCUUAACAACACAGCCUUAGUAGAGAAGCUUAUGUUUUCUUUGUAUUUUCUAGUCUGGAAAAGCUAAGAUACACAAUAGCUACUUCUAAAUUUUUACAUGCUUUCAUAACCAGACACAAAAGAGGGUCCUCCAACAAAACUUAACCUUCAAUUUCAGGAAAAAAAAAAUCACAAAUUGCACUUAAAUGAUACUUAAACAAAUAAAACUUUCCCGACUCUUAAACUUUCCAACAAACUUGUCAUGUUAAGACAUAAUGUCAAAUUUCCCAUCGAGUAUGUUUUGCAUGUUGUUUCAAGCUUAAAGUUAUCAAACAGUUGACUGCAUAUCUACUACUCCUAUCUAAUUAAAGGAAGUGCUCCCUCAUUAUCUUAAUAUAAGAAGUUUUAGAGAAGUGAUUUUGUUUCUUGAUAUAAGCCGUUUGAGAAUUUUAAGUAAUCAUUAUGAAUUUAAUACUUAUGUACAACUCUAAGAGGUUGGCCCACAUGAUCAAUCACUUUAUAUCCAGCUUUAAUAGUAGAAUUCUUAGUAAUACCAUGAGAGGAUGUUAUUGUUGACAUUCCCCACAAGACAACUUUCCAUAUAUAUGCGCCCACUUGAACACAUUGAUGUGAACACAACUUUCCAUAUGAAUUGAUACUUCUAUGGAAAUACAAAUCUUAGGUUUAGUGGCAUUUGGUUCCUUUUACGUCUGUUUAGUAACAGUCUAAUCAGAGGUUAUGGAGGCAACUAAGAGAGUACUAGUUUCUAACAUGAAUGACACACUUAUUCUAACAUCCUAAUUUUUUUUAUUUAUAGAUGUCUUCUGAACCUGCAACACGAAAGCGCGGGUUGGGUCGGGGCCCUAAUCAUGUGCCGAAGGCCCCGGUUAAUCCGGAUGAUCGCAUUCUUAUACAGAUCCGUCCUCCUCCAGAAAGCACGUAAGUUAAACAUCGUGUAUAUAUAAGGNNNNNNNNNNNNNNNNNNNNNNNNNNNNNNNNNNNNNNNNNNNNNNNNNNNNNNNNNNNNNNNNNNNNNNNNNNNNNNNNNNNNNNNNNNNNNNNNNNNNNNNNNNNNNNNNNNNNNNNNNNNNNNNNNNNNNNNNNNNNNNNNNNNNNNNNNNNNNNNNNNNNNNNNNNNNNNNNNNNNNNNNNNNNNNNNNNNNNNNNNNNNNNNNNNNNNNNNNNNNNNNNNNNNNNNNNNNNNNNNNNNNNNNNNNNNNNNNNNNNNNNNNNNNNNNNNNNNNNNNNNNNNNNNNNNNNNNNNNNNNNNNNNNNNNNNNNNNNNNNNNNNNNNNNNNNNNNNNNNNNNNNNNNNNNNNNNNNNNNNNNNNNNNNNNNNNNNNNNNNNNNNNNNNNNNNNNNNNNNNNNNNNNNNNNNNNNNNNNNNNNNNNNGAGGUAUAAAAUCAAUUUGUUGUAUAUUGUCGUAAUAUACCAAUAUUAACAUAGUUAGUAAAUAUUUAUAACUUGUUUUAUUAUUUUGUUAAUAUUACAGGGUGAUCAAGGAGGCGGUGAUGCUUGAUUAGUACCUGCUUUAGAUUAGUUUUAUAGUUAUAAUAUAAGUUUGUACUUGUUUCAUUCUUAGGAUGUUUGUAUAUUGUUACUUAAACAAUUUUUAAAAUGUUAUUAUAUUUAUUCAAAAUCAUAUUGGUUUUGAAUGGUUUAUAUUCUAGUUUAGUGUAUGUGUUAUAUGAUGGACGAUGGAUGUUUAUAUUGUUGUGUAUGCUGUUAUUGUGUAUGUGUGUUGGGAUAAAACAGGUACAAAACAGGUACAGGUUUUUGGGAUUUAUUCAAAAACAACAAGAUUCUGUUAUUUUAUUUUUUAAUAUCAGCGACCGCAUGCGGUCGCUGAUUCCGGUCGUUGACACGUGAAACAUGUCAGCUUUGGUCAUGGCCCAUGCUGACUCAUCGUAGCGAUCGGAUUUGCCAUUUCGGUCGCUAAUAUCGGUCGCAAAAAAUCGGUCGCUAAUAGUGGUCGCUGAUGUGCAUUUCAGCGACCAGAUUUUGUGCGACGCCUUUUAGCGACCGCAGAUGGUCGCAGAUAGAUAUCAGCGACCACAGGCGGUCGCUGAUAGGCGGUCGCUGAUAAGCUUUUUUGUUGUAGUGUUCGAGUAGCUCUCUAUUUGCUCCGGUUCGACUCGUUUACACCCUUAGCAGUAUAUAUAAGCAUCCAUAUAAACAUCCAUCCAUAAUUUAUAUAUAUCCCAACACAUCUACAAUAAUAUAUAUAAACAUCCAUCAAUAUAAUAGAAUUGUAAACCAACACAACACAAUACAAUCAUAAACAUCCAUAUAAUAAUAUAAAUAUUGAGAUUAAUAAUUGUGGAAUAUUUAUUUAAGUAUAAAUACAUAUCUUUGUGUCAUGAGAUGUAAUAAUUCAUUUUUUUAAUUGAAUUAAAUAAUUGAUGAUUGAGAAUUAUGGUGGAAAUAAAGAUGAGCUUAAUUUAAGCUUAUGGAAUGUGCCUAGUGUGGCAAAGUGAUCGAUGAGAUAAGAAAUUCCUUAAGUAAAUUAAUAAGAAAAUUAUUAGAUGGACUAAUUAUCAUUACGAUUAAUUAAUUGUUAUGUGAAAUCUUAUGUGAUAUGCCUAGUAUGGUCUAAUGAGAGACUAAGUAAUUCAUUAAUUGAAUUAAUGAAGGAAUGAAUUAAUAAUGAGAGGAUUUAAUUAAUUAUGUGAUUAUCAUGUAGUUACUUGUGUUAUGUGAUAUUUAAAAUAAUUUAUUUAUAAGGUUAUUUCAUGUAUAAAAUAUAAUAUGGAUGUUAAGAAUAAUAUUAUUAUAUGUGAAUAAUUAUUGUAUGAGACCAUUUAAUAAGGUAAGCUGAAUGUUGUAAUUUACUAAGUUGUAAUUAAGCCUUGUGUGCCUCAAUAAUAUUGGACUGACUAAAAGUAAUUAAAUGAAACUUUUUAUUUAAUGAGUGAUGAAAGAUUAAUGAGGUGUUAACACUCAACUAAAUUGUAUUUAAAUAUUAUUGAAAUUAACCCAAUAUACAUGGAUUAUAUGAUUAUGUGUAUAUACACCCCUAACUUAUCACAAGGUAAUUUUAUUAAGUCAUUAAAGAAACAUUGUGGGUCAAAUAGGAACUCAUUUUUGAAGUACCGAGAUUUAUGUUCUCAAGUUAGUGAAUAACAAAGCCUUGUCCCAAAUUAAUAGUCUCAUUCUAAGUCAUCAGCCAUAUAUUAGGCCAAUGGCCUAUCCUCCCUAUUUUUGCUUAAACUCUGAAAACCAAAAAGGCUAGAGGAGGAUGAUGAUGGCUAGAAGGAUGGAGAGGGAUGGAGUUGGUGAUUGCUUUCCACCAAACUCUCCUUAUCCAUUAUCUUUUUCUUUCUACCUUUGGUUUGAUUCACUGAACAAGAACCAGAAAUUGGUCCAUAAUUUCUCUAUAAAUAGAGGUCUCCUUCUUCAUUCAGUAAACUUUGCAAUCACUGAGUUUCUGAUAAGGUGCAUAUAGAGAGGGAAUUGCAUUUUAAGUGAGCAAUUUGAACAUGGGAAGAUAAAUUCAAUUCACAACCUCAAGAGGUAACAUUACUGUCAAAACAUAUGUUAUUAAUUUUGAGUUUUGUUAAAUUCUUAGAAUUUCUUGAAUUUCUCUGUUAAUUGGUAUGAAAUGGCAUGUCAUUAUGUUAGAAGAGUUUAUACGCGUGUUAUGGAUUAUGUAAUGAUUCUGAGUAUGCUGAAUCAAUGAUAUUCUUGAUUGGGAUUCUGAAUUGCUACAAACCAGAGCCAAGUUUGGAGUUGUUCUGAAGUGGCGCGGCCGCGCGGUUGGUCAGUCCCAAAAAAUAGUUUUUAUUGCUUCUAAAAUUCUGAGCAUGUUAGUUUACUAAGUUAGGUGUGAUACUAAGUCUAACUUAUGAGCUAAGACCCCUAUUGCUCAACAUAAGUUGUUUUAACUUGUUUAUAGUGAUUUUGAAAACAAAUCGUAAGGUUUUGAAAAACAAAUCAUGAUGAACGUGGCGUAUUUUAAAUUUUGAUCUUUCUAGUCUAUACUUAUAACUUAGUUGUGUGAACAUAUGGAUAUGAAGUGGGUUACAGAGUUGAUUUACAUAUUAGCUUGAUUUAGCAUGAGUUUUAAAAAAGGAACUUGUGGAUUUUUCAAAAUGAUGAUCAUAAUAUUCUUUAAGUUCUGACUUUUAAACACUUGAACAUAGCUUGAAUAUGUGUACAAAUAAGCAUAAGAUGUUGUUUUAAGUUGUCUUGCAUAAAGGAGGCUGCAUAGUGGAGUCAUGUAGGUUUGAGAACUAAUUUUGAAAAGCAUGAUGUGAAUAACAUUUUGACUAUAUAUACAAACAUAAAAACAUCUUUUAUGACUAAGCAUGGUUGAUAUGUGCAUUCAACUAGUUAAGUGUAAUAUAGACUAGUUAAGCAUGUUUCAAAGAAGGUUUCUGAAUAACGGACUAUACUAGUUAUGCGUAAGUAAACUAAAUACAUGCAAGCAUGCAUAGUAAAAAUGGGUUAGUAUCAAUAUAUGAUAUAUUAAGCAAUAGGAUCACUCUUUUGCAUGAUGAAUUCUCUUAACCUCAUUAAAUGGAAACUUUCGGAAUAAAACUAUAAGAUUUGAAAAUAAUCUUGAAAUGAGCUUAAGGAACAUAAAAUUAAGUCCAGAACCUUUUAAUUACAUGUGUAUCAUGAUCUGUUUAUGCUAAAUACUAAACUGUAGCCAUACUAUUAAAAGUUUAAAUCUGGUCUGAUCAAGGAGCAGCGCGACCGCACCACUCCCAGGUCAAAAUGUAGCGCGACCGCGCUACAUGCCAGAGAGGUCUGAAAUUUUUUAUCUUAUUCAGAACCUUGAAGCAUGUUUAUCUAAAUGUUUUAAGAUACAAUGCAUAAUGAAAGUGAUGUUUUAAGUACUUAAGUAUGUAGUGGCUACAUUGAACUAAUGCAUAUCAUUUUCUAGAGGAUUGUUAGACAAAGUUUUCAAAGCAAUGUUGAUAUGAUAAUCAUAUGAUCUAAAGUGGAACUUAAAUUAUAUGCUCAAUGGUUAAGCAUGAGUAAGAGAUUGAUUUGUUUAUAUUAAGCAUAUAUGACUAAUGUGUAUACAUAAAUAGGAUAAUAUAGUUCGUUGGAGUUCUAGUAAGCUAUAAGUUGGUAAUCGAUGCAAAAGGCAAGUUUUUGACGCCCCCAAAAGAGGUACACAUCACCCAUCUUGGGUCGCCAGAUACAUGGUACAUAAAUUCAAAUACAACUUAAUUAUACAACAGUCGUGUAAAAUACGACAUAACAUAGCUGAGAGUUUAAACAGGAAUAUUGUCUUCUAGACAAUAUCCACUCUCAAAUAGAGUCCUCAUUACAUUUAUUGUCACACUUUUUUAUAGAAUAGUGAGGACUACUAAUACACCAUCUCGGAUCAUCACUCCGUUCCCCGACUAGUCCCGGCUACAUUCUCAUUUCCUGAAGAGAACAAUGAAAGAAAGGGUGAGCUCAACUAGCCCAGUAAGAAAUAUUAUGACUAAGAUAAUGCAGAAUAAAUUAUCCUUAGCCUUCAACAGUAUAACAACUGAUAGAAUACAAUAGACAACAAGUUUUAGAUCAACAACUGCAGCGGAAUAAGCAAUCCAUUAGAAGAGUCAAGUAGAGCAUAAAAUCUACUAUCUUCUAUGAUUUAAAAAGUUUUUCAUCAACUUUAUCGCUGAGACUCAGCUUAAUAAAUAAAAUCGAAUCAUCCCUGCACCACGGCCAAGGAUAUUCAUGUAAUCAUCAAUGGUCAUGAUUAUACCGAAUAAUCCCUGGUCAUAAUCAUACCAACAACUGUCCAUCAAUGAACUACAGGCCAAUGAGGACUUUUACCACAUCAUUCGUCACAUUACGGUCAUGAUUAUACCGAAUAAUCCCUGGUCAUAAUCAUACCAAGUCCAUCUAUGCACGUAAGCCAAAGAUGACUUUCAUCACAAUAUAAGCAUGAGGAUGAUGACAAUGACAUAAUAAUUCAAUAAAACAAGUUCAAGGAUAAAUUUUAAAGAUUUAUAAUUUAAUUUAUCCAGAAAUCAAUAACGUCCAAAUUGUCAACAUGAUACUGCUUUGUAGAGUAAAAUUCAAGAAUAAUAUUCAUGUACCAAAAAUAAUUUGGACAGAAAAGAAAUAUAUUUUUCGGGUGAAUAGUACCCCGUGAAUAGUACUUCGGGAAUAGUACCCCGUGAAUAGUACCCCGACACGAAAAGUGUCCCGAAUACCCGAGUGAAUGAUACUAGAGUGAAUAGUAAUCGGGUGAAUAGUAACCCGUGAAUAGUAACUCGUGAAUAGUACUCCGGCACGAAAAGUGCCCCGAAUACCCGAGUGAAUAAUACUAGAGUGAAUAGUAACCGGGUGAAUAGUAACCCGUGAAUAGUAACUCGUAAAAAAAAAAUACCAAAGAAAAUGAUAUUCCAUGACGAGUACAAAAGAAAUGAUAUCUCAUACGAGUAUAAUAGAAUAUACGAAACUGCAAAUGGAUUUUCACCCGCCAUGCGGUAAUCCACGUAGACAGAUCAUUUCCACAAUUUAAUAAAGAAUGAAUACGAAGGAUCAUUCACCAUGCAUGCGGUAAUCCACAUAGACAGGUUAUUCCAACAGAAUAAUAAAGAAUGGAAUAACAGAAGAAUUCACCAUGCAUGCGAUAGACCGCACAGACAGGUUAUUCCCAACAGAAUAAUAAAGAAUGGAACCAGGUCAUGCGUAAUCCGCACAGACAGGAUAUUCCAACAGAAUAAUAAAGAAUGGAACCAGGUCAUGCGUAAUCCGCACAGACAGGAUAUUCCAACAGAAUAAUAAAGAAUGGAAUAACAACAGAAUUCACCAGGCAUGCGAUAGACCGCACAGACAGGUUAUUCCAACAGAAUAAUAAAGAAUGGAAUAACAGAAGAAUUUCACCAUGUAUGCGGUACUUCGCAUAGACAGGUUAUUCCAACAUAAUAAUAAAGAAUGGAAUAACAACCCUUACGAGUAUUGAAAGAAAAUAACUCUCUUCAUGAAUACGAAAGAAUAAUACCCCUUACCUUAGAAGAAAACUGGAUACUGGAAUAGUGAGGUAGCAGACUUCUCUUCUUCUUUCUCUCUAUAAUUUCUCUCUAUAAUAAUUGCUCUAUAGCUUUAGUGAAUUGGUGAGAAAUGAAGGAAGAAUGAGCUUCUAUUUAUAGGAAAAUAUAGUUUCGAUAAUUGCACGUUUUGGGGCUCGAAAUAUUACAGUAUAAUACCUUCCUCUUUUUCUUCAUUUUUAAUUUAGUCCUGCAAGUAUUAUCAAACUUGCACCACCUCCCCUAAUAGUAAAUAAUGUGAAUCAAUAGUUCAAUCAUGUGAAUCAAUAGUUAUAAUCAUGUGAAAAUACGAAUUACAGUAUAGUACCUCCAUCUAUACCUCCAUUUUUAACUUAGUCAUGCAAGUAUUAUCAAUCUUGCACCAACUCCCCUAAUAGUACAAGAAUGUGAAUCAAUAGUACACACAUGUGAACAAAUAGUUAUAAUCAUGUGAAUUAAUAGCAAUUAAUUGCUCAUUUAUCCGAUUAAUUACCCGAUUGGUCAAUAUAACCUCCAGACAUCAAUUAUUAUCGAAAUAAAUGUCGAUUUCCACUAACACUAAUAAUUCCAACACAAUGGAACUAUCAAUUUCAUCUUUAAUCAACACGAACUUAUUCAUCAUUAAUAUUAUAACUCACAAUAUUUAACAACCAGGUCGUUCCCAGGAAAGAGGGGGCUUUCCGAUAAGGAUUUCUCCUUAUUGGCGCGCAAUUAGGUGACCAAACCUCUCCUUGACAGAACUUCUAGACAUUGUCAAUAUUGCAAAUAAUAAUAUGAAUAACUUUGUCGUCUCAAUUAUUGAUUUAAUAAUAUAACAUAUUAUGCAGAUGAUACUGUGACAAUAAUUGAAUCAAUAAUAUGAGAGAUAUGAUGCAGCAAUUACUGUAGCAAUAAUUGAGUAUAACUGAGUGACUUCUCACGUAAGCAUCAAUAAUCAAUACCGUGUGCUACUAUGCAACCACGCGUAUUACUGUACUUUUACUACCGGGUAGUUCAACAGUUUUAACGGUAACACUUUCGCCGUUAUUUUUAUAAAAAGAUAAUUCUGUCGUUUUCUAACUACGACAAUACUUCCGUUGUGGGGUCCACCAAUGAUUGUGUCAUCGUACGAAUAUUCCCUGUUAAAACGAAUAUUCCCCGACCAAUCGAAUAUUAUAUAACAACUUGCUUACUUUGCAAAUUUUAUAAAUAUUACCCACAACUAUAACAUUAUAUCAAAUCCACACCAUAAUAUUCAAAAAAAUAUUUCGAAAAAUUUAAAUCUUUAUUCAUAAAAUUUGGGGUCUCACAAAGUUCUUUAAUUUACCAUCUUAUAAUGUGCAAGUUUCUUGAACCUUCUUAGAUAUUAUUUCUUUGCAAAUUCUCUAACUUAUCAUUUUGAAAUGAGCAAGGUCCCUAACUUCAUUCUUACAUUGAAUGCAAAUAUCUAAACCUUAUCUCAUAUUGUGCCAACUAUAUUCAUAUUGAGUAAAUUUCUAUAUUCGUAUGAAUCAUUAUUCAUAUUUGAAAAUUAAUUGUAUAUCUUGAUUCAUGUUACGAGCAUUGAACUUAUUGUUUUAAAAUGCAUGUAUUGUAAAAGUUGUCUAAGCCAUUUGACUCGACUAGACUAAUAUCAUGUGUUAGAAAGCUAUCCAAACCAAUUGUCUUAGUGCAGACCCUUAUAAAUUUACUGACAUGAACAACCCUCAUUGAAGGGGAAAUUAUAUAUUGUCGGGGAACCGACGUGCGCACAAACAUGUUUAAAUGUUAUGCAUAACAUAGGGUAUUUUAGGUUGAUCACCUAUUAUACUUGUUUUAUUGAAUUAUCAGUUUAAUAUUGUUGAUUCUAGUAGGAGUUCUCUGUCCAUAGUGACUACUCAGUAUUGAAACCUUUGAAUUCUUUUAAAAUCUUCCGGUUUAUAAUGACUCACUGUUUAAAAUUCAAAGGACAGUUUUGAAGCUAUUGAUAUUUCCUUGUUUACAACAUUCUUCCUUAACCCUUGAGUUAUCUUUGAUUAUUAUACCUUUGAGAUUAUUAACUUCAUAGCAUGCAUGUUCACCCUUAUUAUUAUAUAUUUGCUGAGUAAAUUUGUGGCUCAUUCUUGUUUCCUUUAAACCUUACAGUUAAGGCAAAAUGUGAUGAACCCUCAG